This 253-nucleotide ribosomal RNA is filed under the name uncultured bacterium. RNAcentral's name for it is "partial 16S ribosomal RNA". It matches the Rfam family "Bacterial small subunit ribosomal RNA", at positions 524 to 776 of the family's 1533-position model. The record is from RNAcentral.
UACGGAGGGUGCAAGCGUUAUCCGGAUUCACUGGGUUUAAAGGGUGCGUAGGUGGGUCUGUAAGUCAGUGGUGAAAUCUCCGAGCUUAACUCGGAAACUGCCAUUGAUACUAUAGGUCUUGAAUUAUCUGGAGGUAAGCGGAAUAUGUCAUGUAGCGGUGAAAUGCUUAGAUAUGACAUAGGACACCAAUUGCGAAGGCAGCUUACUACGGAUAUAUUGACACUGAGGCACGAAAGCGUGAGGAUCAAACAGG